GUUAAAACUUUAUUGUUUAAGCUGAUGGGUCGCUGAUUGUCACGAUGUUCCAAAUAGAUCAAACAAGUUGCAAGUUGGCUUAGCAAGAGACGGGUCAAACAAAUGUAAUCAAUUUCAAAUGCGCGUUUUCUAGCAUUCUGCAUGUAAAAUUAUCAUGGCCACUAUUUUUCGGUUUAAUGCUUUGUUAAAACCAGAUAGUUAUUAUUCAUAUGAUUAAUUUUGAAUAAUGUUUUGUGUAGGCAGAUAUUGUAAUAUUGUUCAACUGUUAAAUAUUAUCUUGAUGAGCAAUUUAU
RNAcentral lists this long non-coding RNA (293 nucleotides) under Helianthus annuus (common sunflower). Its description in RNAcentral is "hypothetical non coding rna". Lineage: Eukaryota; Viridiplantae; Streptophyta; Magnoliopsida; Asterales; Asteraceae. The record is from RNAcentral.